Non-coding RNA from Biomphalaria pfeifferi, 339 nucleotides. Lineage: Eukaryota; Metazoa; Mollusca; Gastropoda; Planorbidae. The record is from the annotation of a GenBank genome assembly.
GAACAAGAAAGUCAAGUGCAUUAGCCAUAUGUUUAUUAAUACAUAGGACACAACAAACUACCAAUUUUGUAUGAAUACUUGAAUACCCACAUUUAUUGGCUCAAAAAUAUAACAAAUUUUAGUUCGAAAAACAAAAGUACAUUUUUCAGAUUUCCUAAAUUAUGUGAUAUUACUGUCAGAAAAGCAUGUCUAUUGAAAUAAAAUGAACAUUGCAUAAGAAAUACUAUCAAUAUGUACAAAGAAACUUAUAAAUAUUUCAGCUGUAGUUAAUGUACAGAACAUAGUAAGUUAGUAUGUACAAUUAUCAAAACAUUCAUCCAGUCAAACAUCAUCUUCUCA